CGGCGGACGGGUGAGUAACACGUGGGCAACCUGCCUAUAAGACUGGGAUAACUUCGGGAAACCGGAGCUAAUACCGGAUAAUUCAUAUCUACACAUGUAGAUAUGCUGAAAGACGGUUUACGCUGUCACUUAUAGAUGGGCCCGCGGCGCAUUAGCUAGUUGGUGAGGUAACGGCUCACCAAGGCAACGAUGCGUAGCCGACCUGAGAGGGUGAUCGGCCACACUGGGACUGAGACACGGCCCAGACUCCUACGGGAGGCAGCAGUAGGGAAUCUUCCGCAAUGGACGAAAGUCUGACGGAGCAACGCCGCGUGAGUGAUGAAGGUUUUCGGAUCGUAAAACUCUGUUGUUAGGGAAGAACAAGUACUAGAGUAACUGCUAGUACCUUGACGGUACCUAACCAGAAAGCCACGGCUAACUACGUGCCAGCAGCCGCGGUAAUACGUAGGUGGCAAGCGUUGUCCGGAAUUAUUGGGCGUAAAGCGCGCGCAGGCGGUCCUUUAAGUCUGAUGUGAAAGCCCACGGCUCAACCGUGGAGGGUCAUUGGAAACUGGGGGACUUGAGUACAGAAGAGAAGAGUGGAAUUCCACGUGUAGCGGUGAAAUGCGUAGAGAUGUGGAGGAACACCAGUGGCGAAGGCGA
RNAcentral lists this ribosomal RNA (642 nucleotides) under uncultured bacterium. RNAcentral's name for it is "bacterial SSU rRNA". It matches the Rfam family "Bacterial small subunit ribosomal RNA", at positions 96 to 724 of the family's 1533-position model. The record is from RNAcentral.